UAUAACCGUCCUUUGAAGCCAGGUGUUGUGAUAACGAUUGAACCGGGAAUCUAUAUCCCAUCUUCUUUUGAUGGUCCAGAGAGGUAUCAGGGCAUUGGGAUAAGAAUUGAAGAUGAGGUCCUCAUUACUGAUUCAGGAUACGAGGUAGAAUCGGA
This is a long non-coding RNA of Morus notabilis, 155 nucleotides long. RefSeq lists it as uncharacterized. The transcript is spliced from 3 exons. Lineage: Eukaryota; Viridiplantae; Streptophyta; Magnoliopsida; Rosales; Moraceae. The record is from RefSeq and is a predicted model, not a curated record.